GUGCUCAUCUCAGCAAGCAUAUAUACUAAAACUGGAACAAUACAGAGAAGACUAGCAUGGCCCAUGAGCAAAGAUGGCAUGCAAAUUCAUGAAUAAUAGAAGACAUAA
This is a small nuclear RNA of Perognathus longimembris pacificus (Pacific pocket mouse), 108 nucleotides long. The record is from RefSeq and is a predicted model, not a curated record. NCBI's taxonomy places the organism in Eukaryota, Metazoa, Chordata, Mammalia, Rodentia, Heteromyidae.